AUUAGAGUUUGAUCUGGCUCAGGACGAACGCUGGCGGCGUGCCUAAUACAUGCAAGUCGAACGAACUCUGGUAUUGAUUGGUGCUUGCAUCAUGAUUUACAUUUGAGUGAGUGGCGAACUGGUGAGUAACACGUGGGAAACCUGCCCAGAAGCGGGGGAUAACACCUGGAAACAGAUGCUAAUACCGCAUAACAACUUGGACCGCAUGGUCCGAGUUUGAAAGAUGGCUUCGGCUAUCACUUUUGGAUGGUCCCGCGGCGUAUUAGCUAGAUGGUGGGGUAACGGCUCACCAUGGCAAUGAUACGUAGCCGACCUGAGAGGGUAAUCGGCCACAUUGGGACUGAGACACGGCCCAAACUCCUACGGGAGGCAGCAGUAGGGAAUCUUCCACAAUGGACGAAAGUCUGAUGGAGCAACGCCGCGUGAGUGAAGAAGGGUUUCGGCUCGUAAAACUCUGUUGUUAAAGAAGAACAUAUCUGAGAGUAACUGUUCAGGUAUUGACGGUAUUUAACCAGAAAGCCACGGCUAACUACGUGCCAGCAGCCGCGGUAAUACGUAGGUGGCAAGCGUUGUCCGGAUUUAUUGGGCGUAAAGCGAGCGCAGGCGGUUUUUUAAGUCUGAUGUGAAAGCCUUCGGCUCAACCGAAGAAGUGCAUCGGAAACUGGGAAACUUGAGUGCAGAAGAGGACAGUGGAACUCCAUGUGUAGCGGUGAAAUGCGUAGAUAUAUGGAAGAACACCAGUGGCGAAGGCGGCUGUCUGGUCUGUAACUGACGCUGAGGCUCGAAAGUAUGGGUAGCAAACAGGAUUAGAUACCCUGGUAGUCCAUACCGUAAACGAUGAAUGCUAAGUGUUGGAGGGUUUCCGCCCUUCAGUGCUGCAGCUAACGCAUUAAGCAUUCCGCCUGGGGAGUACGGCCGCAAGGCUGAAACUCAAAGGAAUUGACGGGGGCCCGCACAAGCGGUGGAGCAUGUGGUUUAAUUCGAAGCUACGCGAAGAACCUUACCAGGUCUUGACAUACUAUGCAAAUCUAAGAGAUUAGACGUUCCCUUCGGGGACAUGGAUACAGGUGGUGCAUGGUUGUCGUCAGCUCGUGUCGUGAGAUGUUGGGUUAAGUCCCGCAACGAGCGCAACCCUUAUUAUCAGUUGCCAGCAUUAAGUUGGGCACUCUGGUGAGACUGCCGGUGACAAACCGGAGGAAGGUGGGGAUGACGUCAAAUCAUCAUGCCCCUUAUGACCUGGGCUACACACGUGCUACAAUGGAUGGUACAACGAGUUGCGAACUCGCGAGAGUAAGCUAAUCUCUUAAAGCCAUUCUCAGUUCGGAUUGUAGGCUGCAACUCGCCUACAUGAAGUCGGAAUCGCUAGUAAUCGCGGAUCAGCAUGCCGCGGUGAAUACGUUCCCGGGCCUUGUACACACCGCCCGUCACACCAUGAGAGUUUGUAACACCCAAAGUCGGUGGGGUAACCUUUUAGGAACCAGCCGCCUAAAGGUGGGACAGAUGAUUAGGGUGAAGUCGUAACAAGGUAGCCGUAGGAGAACCUGCGGCUGGAUCACCUCCUUA
Molecule: ribosomal RNA, 1563 nt
Filed under: Lactiplantibacillus plantarum
Lineage: Bacteria; Bacillati; Bacillota; Bacilli; Lactobacillales; Lactobacillaceae
Description: Lactobacillus plantarum partial 16S ribosomal RNA
Rfam family: Bacterial small subunit ribosomal RNA
Source: RNAcentral